This 775-nucleotide ribosomal RNA is filed under the name uncultured Neocallimastigales. Its description in RNAcentral is "partial large subunit ribosomal RNA". It matches the Rfam family "Eukaryotic large subunit ribosomal RNA", at positions 26 to 614 of the family's 3401-position model. Lineage: Eukaryota; Fungi; Neocallimastigomycota; Neocallimastigomycetes; Neocallimastigales. The record is from RNAcentral.
CGCAUCUGUGCAUGCAGCAUAUUCAAUAAGCGGAGGAAAAGAAACUAACAAGGAUUCCCCUAGUAACGGUGAGUGAAGCGGGAAGAGCUCAAAUUUGAAAUCUUAAAGGGUUUCCCUUUACGAAUUGUAGUUUAAAGAAGUGUUUUCUGUUGAGGUUUUGGUAAAAGUUCUUUGGAAUAGGACAUCAUAGAGGGUGAGAAUCCCGUAUUUGACCUUUACUUUCAACUUUGUGAUACACUUUCAAAGAGUCGGAUUGUUUGGGAAUGCAGUCCAAAAUGGGUGGUAAAUUUCAUCUAAAGCUAAAUAUUGGCGAGAGACCGAUAGCGAACAAGUACCGUGAGGGAAAGAUGAAAAGAACUUUGAAAAGAGAGUUAAACAGUACGUGAAAUUGUCAAAAGGGAAGCGUUUGACACCAGUGUUGUUUUUCUGAAAAUCAAUUAAAGAACUGUUUAUGCUAAGUUGUUUAGACUUUAUCAGCUAACUGUUUAGUUUUGAGCUUUCCUUUAAUGCACUUUUCAGUUAACAAGUCAACAUCAAUUUCUUUUGCUGUAAAAAAGCUUGAGGAAGGUGGCUUGAGAUUCGUCUUAAGUGUUUAUAGCCUCUUGCCUAUGCAGUCGGAGAGAUUGAGGUCUGCAGCGUAGAUCCUUCGGGGCUAAAUGCAUUUGUGCUAAGUUAUAGCAUUUUAUAGACAACUUGUUGACUAUGAUUUGUCUUGUAGCUUACUCGCUUAUGUUAUUUUACCUACGCUUAGGAUGUUGAACGCGCACAGAGUCUC